GGCGACAGAGCGAGACUCCGUCUCAACAACUAUGACAACAACAAACAGUUUGGGACAGAGAAAAAUCCCUGUAAACUUCAAGCCUUUUGGGGUGCUCUUGGGUGAACUCCUAAAUUGCUCAAGGGCUAACUUCCUCAUUUAUUAUUAAAAGAAAAAAGAAAAAGGCAGAGGCCAGUGGUGAAGGCUGGCGAUUUCUGGUCUAGGGUGAGAGAUAACAGAAAGUAACAAUGGAGGCUCUCGCAGUGCUCGCAGGCACUCAAGGAACGGAAAGGAAAUUGCACAUUUCACCCGUGACUGCAUAGGCAAACGAGAACAGCAAGUCUCUGCUUUCAGCUGGAAUGUUAUCAACUUCGGUCACGCUGAUUAUCUCAGGCUGAUCAGGAAGGCUGGUACCAGGAGUGAGUGACUAAAUGAAGAAAUUACUAAUUAACAAAUGCUUGGGUGGACAAUCCUUCAAAAUUUAGGAUCAAUGGGAGGAGACAGAAGGAGUCUUGGGAGGAUUUUUAAAAUAUGCCAGAGCUGGCUGGGUACAGUGGCUCACACCUGUAACCUGAGGACUUUGAGGUGGAGACGGGCAGACCACCUGAGCUCAGGAGCUCAAGACCAGCCUGGGCAACAUGGCAAAACCCUGUCUCUACUAACACUAUAAAAAGUUAGCUGGGCGUGUUGGUGCAUGCUGUAGUCCCAGCUACUCAGGAGGCUGAGCCACGAGAAUCGCUUGAACCUGGGAGAUGGAGGUUGAAGUGAGCCAAGAUCGCACCAUUGCACUCCAGCCUGGGGAAAAAAAAAAGCCAGGCCUCCUAAUGUACUCAUUUAAACAUCACUUGUGUCCACCUGGGUUCAGAAUUGCGCUGGACAUGGGAUACACAAAGUUUCAAUUGGCCUCUUGGUGCCAAAGCACCAUGGCGUGUUACACCUAUCAGAUCGGGCACACUGCCCCUUCUUCCCAACCUACGAGCUGAAAUGGCCAGCACUGCGCCUUCCAGAACCCAGCGUAGAUGCACAGCUGCCACGGAGGUAGGAAGAAUGAUUCGUUUGCCACCAAAAGCCCAGUUUCUCCAACAGGUGAAUCCCUAGGCCAGCCCGGCCCCUUCCCACACACCCCUACCCCGAGACGGGUGCAGAAUCAGCAGCGGGGAUCAUCCAGAGACUCUCGCAGUCCACGGCAGGUGUCGGAGUGGGCCUCAUUCCAGAGUUGUGGUGGCCGCUCCACCUGGCGAGCUUCGAGGGGACUCCGGCAGGCGCUCGCUGUGGGGUCCUCCCACCAGUCUUCUCAGCACAGGAACGGUGCCUUCACAUUGGUCUUCCGGGGCUUAAAAGCAUAUCAUUCCUGCUUGCUCUUCAGAUGCAAACUCCCCCUCCAAGGAUACCUCCAGGUUCCCUGCCAGCUCACUUGACUCACAUGGCAAUGGUCACCGGGCUGCCUGAGCCCAAAUCAAGCACCGUUUAUUAGGGGGAAGCUCCGUUAUCCAGAAAGCUCAUCUUUGAAGAGCUACCCAUUUCCUGCCAAAGUUGUGGCGGGAAGGCCUUAGGUACUAGAAAACCUUGGGGAAUGGCAAUUAAAGGAUUAUCAUUCUUACUUAUUUGUUUGGAUAAGCAGCAAUCACCCUUCGGAUGCUUAUUGGUGAGAAUAUUUCUAAAAGUGUCCUGCACAUUUCCCUGCUUUGAUGAAUGGAACGGCAGGGCAGGAUUUAACUGUCUGAUGGCUACGGUUUUGGGAAAGUGCCAGAACCUCCACGUCAGCCACCCCAGAGCCACAGGCAGGGUAUGAGCCACAGCAAUGGGCCCCAAGAAAGAGCCCCACACCCACCAUGGUCCACGGAAGACGCUGCUUACUGGCCCCGGGUUACCUGGAGUCAUGUGCAUUCUCCUUACAUCAAGUGAAGAUAAUAUUUUGUUUCCUUCCCACUUUUUCUCUAACACAAGCCACCCCAGUUCUCCCUUCUGACAACAGGCAAGUGGACCCUAGUAGACCUUCCAGAAAAGCCUUAGAGAGCACCCCCAAAUGCUCACAUUUGUCAGCUGUAAUUCCACCCUCAGUUAAAACCUGAUUCUCAAUGUGACUUGGCCAACGCAGCUUGCAAAGCAAGAACGUCUUCAUCUAAGGUUGAAAACAUCAGUUGUUUGGGUUGUGAGAAAAGAAAAGCCCACAAGGUUUCCGAGGCUUGGUGCUGUUUCUCACUGUCCUCAGCUCCUGAUUCUGCAGCUGGUUCUCUCUCCAAGCACUAGCAAAACCCUGCCCUAGGAGCCCCCAGACUCUGAGAGCCCAUGACCAAAAAGAAAAGGAAAGCCAAGUUGGGGAAGAACAGGGGCCCCCAACUCCACAGCCCUCCACUCUGCCCAGAGGGCCCACCCUGGGCUGCCUGGAACCCCCUAAAGUUGCCACCCCCGCAACACAGUAGUGGGGCAGUUCCUGGCAGCGCCUGCAGCCCAUGGGCUGGCUCUGUACCCGCAGCCCCGCCAAGCGUCUGUUAUCUUAUUUACUGGAAUCUGCACAGCCAGGCUCUAGCUCACCGGUGACUAAGGAGCUGCAGCCAUUAUUACCAGGCAGAUGGCAGACUCCCUAAAAGCAGACAUUAAACAAUAAAAUGCCACCACAUACCUUGCCCACAAAAUAAAAUCAAA
This 2625-nucleotide long non-coding RNA is filed under the name Homo sapiens (human). Its description in RNAcentral is "non-protein coding lnc-GALNTL5-2:4". Lineage: Eukaryota; Metazoa; Chordata; Mammalia; Primates; Hominidae. The record is from RNAcentral.